UACAGAGGGGGCAAGCGUUGUUCGGAAUUACUGGGCGUAAAGGGCGCGUAGGCGGCCUUCUAAGUCGAACGUGAAAUCCCCGGGCUCAACCUGGGAACUGCAUCUGUGACUGCAUCGCUGGAGUGCGGCAGAGGGGGAUGGAAUUCCGCGUGUAGCAGUGAGAUGCGUAGAUAUGCGGAGGAACACCGAUGGCGAAGGCAAUCCCCUGGGCCUGCACUGACGCUCAUGCACGAAAGCGUGGGGAGCAAACAGG
Molecule: ribosomal RNA, 253 nt
Filed under: uncultured bacterium
Lineage: Bacteria
Description: partial 16S ribosomal RNA
Rfam family: Bacterial small subunit ribosomal RNA
Source: RNAcentral